Molecule: long non-coding RNA, 1652 nt
Organism: Trachemys scripta elegans
Lineage: Eukaryota; Metazoa; Chordata; Testudines; Emydidae
Exons: 3
Source: RefSeq, a predicted model, not a curated record
UUAAAAGUGUGCUCCAGCAAUUUAGUCUUCCUAAGCAGAUAUCCUGCAAGCUCUGCAGAGGAUGUCAAAACCUGCUGAUAUCUAACAGAGUCAACUCCAAGUUUGUGUAUCCCGGUCCACUCUACCUUUCCAUCAGACAGUACAUGUGGAAAUGGAAAAGUAGCUCUCUAAUUAAUCAAAGUCAGAUCUGCCUGAACGCCUGGAGUUGCUGCUGAUCCUUGUCCCAGCUUCUCCCAUGUUCUCUCUCUAUGUUUUUACCUUGAAAACUUCUGCUCAGAGCUGGGAAUGCCUGAAGGGCUUGCACGAAUAGGAAAACUGAUUACCUGGCUCCAUGUUCCAUGCGCAGUUUCAUGUCACUAAACUGAUCAGAAAAGAAUUGGGCCAACCCUGGGGAAACAGAAAGAACAUCUCACAACCCACCCAUACCCAAGAGGGGCCAGAUGACACAUGGUGCAGAGUAUUGACAGAUGUGGGAUAUGUCUAGAUAUGUCUAACGGCACAGAAAAAAUUCCAUAUGGGAGAGAUUUAAAAGAUUUUCACUAUGUAGUUUAAAGAGAAGAUGAGUAAUAGGACACGAUACACAUUUAUAAAAUAAUGUAUGAUAUAGAGAAUAUAUAUAUGGAAGUCCUAUUUACUCUUUCUCGUGACAUUAGAACAAAGAGACCCCAAUGAAAUUAACAAGCAAGACAUUUGAAAAUAAUAAAAAGAAAUACUUAUUUUUCAUAGCCUGCAAUUAACCUCUGGAACUCAUUGCUGUGAGAUAUUAGUGUAGCUUAACAGGAUUCAAAACAGAAGUAAACAUUUAUAAUACCAACUCCCAUAGUUACAUUAGACAGGACAAAACAUUUUAUGGAAUAUAAAACUUCAUGCAUUAAGACGUAAAGCAGCCAACUGCCUGGGUUUAGGAAGAAACUUCUCCAUUAGGAAAGUUGCAUAUAAUUGCUUAUUAAGUUGCUUCUUGCACCUUUCUCCACAAAAGCAUGUAGUAUGGGCCAAUCUUGGAAAUAGGAUAGUGGACUAGCUGGACUGUGAGAAUUCUAUAUUCCUUUGAUAUUAAUAGUUUGCUUUGAUUUUCCACAGACACAAACCAAGAUGAACUAAUUUGACUUCAUCCUCUAACAACCAGGUUCUUCUUUUAAUUGUUAUUGGUAUUUUAUACACUUAAUUGCUCAUCUUCCCUGAGUAAGGCAUUUGGGACUAACACCUUUGUGACAUUUGUGUGUGCCAAAUUUGUGGGAUGGCUCUGAUAAUUAUUCAUUAAUCAUGACUAUAUGGAUAAUUCUACAGCCAGAGACCCUGCAAAUAGUAAGUGCCUAUAACAGGGCUGUCCUGAGUCAAACUUCUUGAAUGUUAUUUCCAUUUGAGGAAUUUUGAUAAGUUUGUUUCCCCCUAACUUGAGUUUGCAUAUCUCUAAUAUUACCAAUGUGUACCUGAAGCUGAUCCUUCUUUUCAGGUAGUGCAUUCAUUGCUGUGGAUGGGGAAGUCUAAGGAUUGGGAGCCAGUCAGACCUAAAAAGGAAAAGAGCUAAUGAAUUGCUUUAAAAAAUUGAAAAAAUAUGUGAAUAAGUAUGUGAGAUUAUACAAACUGUAAAUGGGGCAUGCAAUCUUAAAAGAAUAAAGCCGUAAAAUUCUGCUGUUUAGCCUAUUGUUAAU